Molecule: ribosomal RNA, 208 nt
Filed under: uncultured delta proteobacterium
Lineage: Bacteria; Deltaproteobacteria
Description: partial 16S ribosomal RNA
Rfam family: Bacterial small subunit ribosomal RNA
Source: RNAcentral
CGUGUAGGCGGUUUUAUAAGUCUGAUGUGAAAGCCCUGGGCUCAACCCCGGGAAGUGCAUUGGAUACUGUAAGACUUGAAUACGGGAGAGGGCAGUGGAAUUCCUAGUGUAGGAGUGAAAUCCGUAGAUAUUAGGAGGAACACCGGUGGCGAAGGCGGCUGCCUGGACCGAUAUUGACGCUGAGACGCGAAAGCGUGGGUAGCAAACA